Molecule: long non-coding RNA, 5045 nt
Organism: Cornus florida
Lineage: Eukaryota; Viridiplantae; Streptophyta; Magnoliopsida; Cornales; Cornaceae
Exons: 3
Source: RefSeq, a predicted model, not a curated record
UCAUCGGACAGCUUUUAUGAAUCACUCUCCCUAGGGCUAGGGUGAGGGUUUUUUCCCUGAAACUUGUGGAGGAUCGAGCACAGCACAACACAGAGGCAACAUUCAAAUCUUUCAACACUAUGGCUUUCAGAUCCUGUAAGUCUAUUUCACCCGUCUUUCAUUUCAUAUACGACACUCUCAUACAUCAGAGAAUCAAUCAUAAUACGCCCACAAUUGUUCCUUUUUUUGAAACCCAAUCAAUAGCAAAAACCUCAUAUUUCACAGAGAAACAACCUCUCACCAUCUCUCUCUGUGCUCUUAAUGUUGAUCUUCUCUAGAAUCUGCUAUCUCAGCUUCUGAGAAGAUCAACAUUAAGAGCACAGAGAGAGCAGACUCGGUUCUUGAGCUCCUAAGGUUGAUUGGGUUCACUGAAAAAUACAUUUCAGUCAUAAUUUCUAGAACCCCAAAUUUAAUUUUGGCUGAUCCAGAGAGAACACAGAGACCCAAAAUUGAGUAUUUUGAAUCUUUGGGUCUUGUCAGACCUGACUUACCUCUGUUCAUGUAACUAGUUGGGUAGCAGUUUAGAAAACCGUUAACCGAAUCAAACCAACAUUUGAUUUCCUUAAACAAUACAUAAGGACCAAUGAGAAUUUAAUUUAUGCUCUUAAGCAAUCUAUCCAUCUGGGGCUGUGCAAUGUUCAGAAAGUUAUGGUGCCAAAUGUCGAAACCUUGCUGGCUCAUGGUGGUCCUGAAUCCCAUAUUGGAAAACUAAUCAUGUUGCGGCCUAGAGCACUAGCGUUGAGUGUUGAUGUGUUUAAAGAGAUUACUAAUGCAGUUAAUGAAAUGGGAUUUGAUCCCAAAAGGCUAACAUACUUGUUGGCUAUCAGCAUCCUUUUUCUUUUCCCAAUUGAGUUUGCCAUUCGACAUCAAAUUAUCAAAAAAAAAAAAAAAAAACCAUGUUGGCUAUCCAUGGAAUGAUGUUGAAUGGCAAACUCAAUUGGGAAAAUAAAAAGAUGCUUAUAUGAGCGUUGGUUGGUCUGAAAGCGAAUUUAAUUCGGCAUUCAAAUUGCAACCGGGAUGUAUGCUUUGCUCAGAGAAGAAGAUCAGUGAACGGGUUUCUUAAAGAACAAGGCGACCUUAAGAGCAUCAGAGAUUGCUAAAUGCCCAAAUCUUUUUCUAUCUAGUUUGGAAAGGAAAAUCAUUCCAAGAUGUUCAGUUCUGCAAAUUCUGAUGUCAAAAGGGUUUUGAUUCAGAAGGAUGUAGAUGUGGUUUGGGUGUUAAAUGAUAGCAAAAAGAAUUUUGAGACCAGGAUUCUGACUAAGUAUAAGGAGGUAGCUCCCGAGGUAAUCAAAUCAUACAAUGGUGAUAUAGGAUUUCAAGAACUCAAUGCUAGAUUGUAGGACAAUUUGGAAUCAGAGAAGCGAGUAGCUGCUUGAUAUGCUGGCAACAACAGAGGAAAUAUGGUGUAUUUGAAUUUCUAUCAAAAUGAUUUGGCUGCAUAUAAGGUCUGCCAUCUAAGAAGUAAUCCUCUAAUCACUUCAAUGAGGUUUUUUGGUGACUGAUACAGUAUGAGAAGAGGUAAGAUUGUCUUGUAUAUUUUGAAGAUCACAUCAGUUUUCUCUGUCGACUUUGUCACAUCCUAGAAAAUUUCAUAAUUAUGUUUCUCAUCUGUAAUGUUAUGAAAUAUGCUCUAAUUUUUAAAAUUUUGAAAAUGGGCAGAUUUGCUUCAUAGUUCCAUUUGACUGUCUAUAUCUUUUAAUUAUUAGUUAUUUUCUAGGUCUGCAUAAUACUCAUGUGGUGAUUGAGAUGGUUGGUGUGUGUGUCUAUAUAGUAUUUACACUGAUUUGGUGAAUUCCCUUGUUUUACCUGUAAGAGUACUUAGUACCUGUGAAAGGCUAGUGGUCAUUUCCAUGUGUGUUUGAUUUCAUUAUGGCUAAUUAGUCCUAUGUGUCCUAAGCUGUCUAUACAUUCAUAUACUACGUAAAUAAUUUAUCUCUAGAUUUAACUUUCCAUGAUUUCAUUAUAUUCUUUCAUGUAUUAUGUAAAACCUUUUUCUCUGGAUUUAACUCCACUACAACUAAAUAUCCCCGUAGUGACAAAAUUUUAGCAGCAUUUAUUAAAAAAAACGCUGCUUUAAAAUAUUUCUGACUGUAAUUUCUAGUAAGUGCUGGACGUGACUGCCAUGCACAUUCUUUUUCUAUAUAUAUUUUCAUUUAGUUCCUCACUUUUUUUUUUUUUUUUUUUUCAUUCCUCACUUUUUCACUCCCGCGUUUCAUCAAUUUACUCCUCAGUCUCCGUCCCAAAAUCAAACUGAACCGUAGGAGUGACGAUUCUCUCACUCUAUCUGAGCUGCUCUCUGUUACAAACAUUUUCGAUCAAGAGCUUCAUUUACAUUUCAGAGAGAAAUUGAAACCAGACCAAGCUGUUGAGUUCGUUAAUUCGUCUGUUCUAAUUUAUUGGAACUAAAUCGACUUCUGUUUCGUCCAAAAUGGCAAACGAUCAUUAUAUUCAUUUUCAUCCACUCACAGGUAAAUUCUAUCAGAUUUGCUUCAUUUUUAUUGGAAUUCAGCUUUAAUUGGAGAUUGAUGUUAUUAUUGUAUGAAACCGUUUCUAAGAGUUUGGAUCUGGUUUUAGAACCCUGUUUCAAUUUUUAAUCGAUCUGGAUGUAUAAAUUCAUUCAAAGUGGUUGACAACAUGAUUAUUCUUGUAAUAUGAUUUCUCGUUCUGUAUUUUUUUCAUGAUUUUUUGCCACAAAACCAUAAUGUUAAUAUUUGAUUGUUUUUUUUUAUAUAGUUCUCAUAGUUUCUGACUAUUCAUGAUUCUGACGAAUUUGAGAAUUUUUUUAAGAUCGAGGUAUUUCAAUGAGUAGUAUCUCCAAACUAUUCAUAAUCUGAUCUUUGGUACCUUACCAAUUGAAUUAUUUUGAUUUUCAAUUAAUUUUUUGUUUUUGUUUAUUGUAGUUGUUGUUAAAUUUAGGGCUUCAUGAUAUAUGUGAAGUGAACAAGAAUCUCACCUUAUUUUUACUUUUAUGUAAGAUGACUGAACCAGAACUUGCAUUUGCUCAUAAAAUUGCUGAUUCAAUUUUUUGCACUUUUAUGAACUACAAAUUUUGAUAUAGCAGUAUGUAUAUUUCUGGCUCACAAAUGUAAUUGCUUAAAUAAUCACAAAAUGAAAUUUUCAUAAUGAAGGAUUGCAUUUGCUCAUAAAAUUGCUGGCAGAUUUCUAAAACUACCGUGUUUUAGUUAAAAAAUGACUUUGGAGAGGGGGUAAUUUACCUUUCUUCUCUCUGUCUUUUUCUUUUAUUUAUUUAUUUAUUUUCAUUGAUGAUUACUUAAGUGGACUAGUAGACGAAAGAAAACCUGUAUUUUGAGUGACGAAAGAAAAGUUUAUAAUUCCAGACUAUGCUAAAUCAUGGGUACUAAAAUCGAAUGGUAAGAAGUGGAGGAACUUUAAGUCUAACUUGAAGAAGAAGCAUUACAUGACACAUGUGACUAAUGAGGAGCGACUGGCAGGUCGUGAUGAUCGAGUCUUGCCAGAGCAGUGGUAUUACCUAGUUCAAUUUUGGAACUUAGACAAAGGACAUGUAUGUAAGGUGAACUGAAGUUUUUUAAAUUAAUGCCUUAAAAUUUUAAAUAUUUUUUAGUGUACUUGGCUUGUUUACACCAAAUUGUAUGUCCUUUUUAUGGCUGAUGGAAUGAUAGCAAAGUAAGCACUUUUUAUCAUUCCCUUUCCCUCUUUUAAUCUUUAUUUCUGUUUCAAAAUGAGAAAUCUAGGCACAAACCUUACUCUAAAAUUUUCAGUGUACAUCCAUACAUUGGAUAAGUUAAUCUCUCUCUAAGUAAUGCUUUAAUAUGUUUUUCUUAUUUUUAGGAGCGUAGCAUUACUAAUACUACCAGUCGUCCAAAGCAAAAAAAUACUCACACAGUAAGAUAAAAAAGCUUUGCACAAAUACACGAGGAGCGUAAGAAGAGGCCUAAUGGAGAGGAACCAACCCGGGCAGAUUUGUUUAUACUAACGCGCACAUGAAAAAAUGGACGACCAAUGUAUGAAGCAUCUGCACAAAUUAUUAAACUUCACAACGCGGUGCUGCUAGAGAUGACAUCUUUUCCCAAGUAGUUGGUGAAGAUAGACAUGGCUUGGUUCGCACUUAUGGUUUGGGUCCCUCCCCAUCAGAUCUUUGGGGCACGACACCUGGUCGUGUGAAGUCAAUGAGGAUGGCUUCAGAGGCUAGAAGGGCUUGUGUAGAGUGCGCGAUUUGACGGAAGAAAUGCAAAAAAUGAAGCAACUGAGAUAAUUGGAUUGCAUGGCUGGUGGAUGGUAGAGAUAACCGAAACCAACCCGGUUCUCUUCGAAAUAGCAUACCUUAUGCUUCUUGGAUAAACAUCAGUCUUGACCUUGACAUCUUCACCAAAUUCUCAAGGCCUGUCUUCAUCAAUCCUUCCAAUCCCAACACCGACGACUGUGGCACCACGUUCACCGGCAACUGUAUUCUUGACUCUUGUCUCCGUCGAAGAUUCAGCUCAAUCUUGGCCCCAAGACUACUAUUAGUAGACGCAGCCUGAUUAAGUUCACUGAUUUCCUCAUUUUCGCUUUUGAUGGUGUCUGAACUUCUGCUGGCAUGCAUGGUUCUUUGUAUUCAAAGAAUGACUGUAUUGUGUGAGCUUUGUCAAACCAAGCCUGGUUUCAUUUAUUAAUUUUAAUCGCAUGAUUUUAUUAAGAAAGAUGAUAAAAACACUACACUCUUACUGUAAAAAGACAUUAUUGACCUUGAUUUAAUUCAAGAGAAUCAAAUAUAGGGGGUAUUUAUGUUAAAAAAAAAAAAAAAAUACAAGAAAAUAGUGCAUUUAUAAAAAGAGAGGAGUGUAUUGGAUAAUGCUUCACCAAUUUUUGACUCGCUCAUUUAUUGUACAUGUUUUGUAUUCGUGUCAUCAAUUAUAUUGCUACAACUAGAAAUGUAAGCAUCAAAUAAACAGUAGAGAGAUGUAAUAUUAAGGGAGUAGGCAUUCUGUACUGUGAUAUAUUCUCUUCUUAAUUCAUUAUAUAUAUAAAUAUAAAUUUAUAGUGAA